Leptinotarsa decemlineata (Colorado potato beetle) is the source of this 660-nucleotide long non-coding RNA. The record is from RefSeq and is a predicted model, not a curated record. Lineage: Eukaryota; Metazoa; Arthropoda; Insecta; Coleoptera; Chrysomelidae.
AUUUCUGUAUAAAUACUGUGACGGGACUAUAUUCUUUCAAAAUAACCAAAAUCUUGAUUAUGUAGGCCAAACAUAACCGCCUCUGUCAUAUUUCUGAAAAAUGAUCGCAUUCAAAUCACGGUUUCCCGAAUAAUAAAGAAGUAGAACACCAACUCCAACCAGAAGUCAAAUAGCAUAGCUAUUGAAAAAGGUAGAACGCCACCAUUAGGGCCAUUAGCCCAAAAACGCAGCAGCUUCAGCUAGAAAAGGAAGACCACAUUCUGCAAUAAAAGGUGAUACCCCAUCCACCACCUAUGAACAUUAUUCGAGAUGGAGAAGAUAUUCGAUAAACGCCUUAUCUGUGAGGUAAUGAAGUCUAAAAAUUUAGAUGAAAAUCCUUAGAUGAGCGAUUCAAUAGUAUGUUAUGAGUUUUUCUCAAUGGAAAGAUCAGAUAAAGGAAUACAAUAGUGUCAAAAAAAAUAGAGAUAAUAAACUAGGACAUUUGGAAGGCAAUGUCUUCGACUCCUAACAUAGACAGAAAGAGUUACAUAUCAAAUUUAAACAUUCCAAUGGAAACCAACUGGUUGAAAUAAACAAAUAAAAUGCUGAAAGAUCUGUCAAAAUGCAUCGCGAAAAGAACAUCAAUUGGUUAUAAUUGUGAAUAAAUUGGGCAGAAAAAGA